CCUACGGGUGGCAGCAGUGGGGAAUAUUGGGCAAUGGGCGCAAGCCUGACCCAGCAACGCCGCGUGAAGGAAGAAGGCUCUCGAGUUGUAAACUUCUUUUAUCAGGGACGAAGCAAGUGACGGUACCUGAUGAAUAAGCCACGGCUAACUACGUGCCAGCAGCCGCGGUAAUACGUAGGUGGCAAGCGUUAUCCGGAUUUACUGGGGGUAAAGGGCGUGUAGGGGGGAAAGCAAGUCAGAUGUGAAAACCAUGGGCUCAACCUGUGGCCUGCAUUUGAAACUGGUUUUCUUGAGUACUGGAGAGGCAGACGGAAUUCCUGGUGUAGCGGUGAAAUGCGUAGAUAUUAGGAAGAACACCAGUGGCGAAGGCGGCCUGCUGGACGAUGACUGACGUUGAGGCUCGAAAGCGUGGGGAGCAAACAGGAUUAGAUACCCUAGUAGUC
RNAcentral lists this ribosomal RNA (443 nucleotides) under uncultured bacterium. Its description in RNAcentral is "partial 16S ribosomal RNA". It matches the Rfam family "Bacterial small subunit ribosomal RNA", at positions 338 to 795 of the family's 1533-position model. The record is from RNAcentral.